AACGAACGCUGGCGGCAGGCUUAACACAUGCAAGUCGAGCGCCCCGCAAGGGGAGCGGCCGACGGGUGAGUAACGCGUGGGAACGUACCUUUUGGUUCGGAACAACUCCGGGAAACUGGAGCUAAUACCGGAUAAGCCCUAACGGGGAAAGAUUUAUCGCCGAAAGAUCGGCCCGCGUCUGAUUAGCUAGUUGGUGAGGUAACGGCUCACCAAGGCGACGAUCAGUAGCUGGUCUGAGAGGAUGAUCAGCCACACUGGGACUGAGACACAGCCCAGACUCCUACGGGAGGCAGCAGUGGGGAAUAUUGGACAAUGGGCGCAAGCCUGAUCCAGCCAUGCCGCGUGAGUGAUGAAGGCCUUAGGGUUGUAAAGCUCUUCUGUCCGGGAAGAUAAUGACUGUACCGGAAGAAUAAGCCCCGGCUAACUUCGUG
RNAcentral lists this ribosomal RNA (431 nucleotides) under uncultured bacterium. Its description in RNAcentral is "partial 16S ribosomal RNA". It matches the Rfam family "Bacterial small subunit ribosomal RNA", at positions 29 to 507 of the family's 1533-position model. The record is from RNAcentral.